UACGUAGGCAGCAAGCGUUGUUCGGAGUUACUGGGGUAAAGGGUGUGUUGGCGGGUCUUUAAGUUUGGGGUGAAAUCUCCCGGCUCAACCGGGAGGGUGCGCCGAAUACUGAGGGACUAGAGUGUGGGAGAGGAAAGUGGAAUUCCUGGUGUAGCGGUGAAAUGCGUAGAUAUCAGGAGGAACACCGGUGGUGUAGACGGCUUUCUGGACCAUAACUGACGCUGAGACACGAAAGCGUGGGUAGCAAACAGG
RNAcentral lists this ribosomal RNA (252 nucleotides) under uncultured bacterium. RNAcentral's name for it is "partial 16S ribosomal RNA". It matches the Rfam family "Bacterial small subunit ribosomal RNA", at positions 524 to 776 of the family's 1533-position model. The record is from RNAcentral.